Molecule: ribosomal RNA, 77 nt
Filed under: Romboutsia ilealis
Lineage: Bacteria; Bacillati; Bacillota; Clostridia; Peptostreptococcales; Peptostreptococcaceae
Description: partial 16S ribosomal RNA
Rfam family: Bacterial small subunit ribosomal RNA
Source: RNAcentral
UUUUAUUUGAGAGUUUGAUCCUGGCUCAGGAUGAACGCUGGCGGCGUGCCUAACACAUGCAAGUCGAGCGAUUUACU